Molecule: long non-coding RNA, 1061 nt
Organism: Bos indicus x Bos taurus (hybrid cattle)
Lineage: Eukaryota; Metazoa; Chordata; Mammalia; Artiodactyla; Bovidae
Source: Ensembl
GACUCAGGAAAGAAGCAAGGCUUCUCCUUUUCCUUCAGUAAUCUAGGAAGAGAACGUUCCUCUCAAUUUAAUUGUUACAGGACUGAGUUCUGAACUGGGAUUCAGGGACACAGCACUCUAAAUUUCUUAAAAGCCAAAUCUGUGUCUUCAUUUUUGUCUCCCCCACUCUGCUAGGCUUACAUAUGUGUGUAGUCUCUCAGUUUCAUCCAUGUGAUCCCAUGGACUGUAGCAUACCAGACUCCUCUGUCCAUGGAAUAUUCCAGCCAAGAAUACUGGAGUAGGUUGCGCUUCUCCAUGACAUCUUCCUGACCCAGGGAUCGAACCUGCAUCUCCUGUAUUGCAGGCAGAUUCUUUACCAUCUGAGCCACCAGGGAAGCCUGCUAGGCAUGUAGUAGGCACUCAGCUAAUACUAGUUGCAGAAACACCAAAUGAUCAGAAUUUUGUUGCAGACCAGUUUCAGUGUGGAGAACUGAUUGACUCGCAUGGGUCUCAUUUUCGUCCUGCCUAUCAAAUAAAACACAGACUAGAUGGCAUCAAACUCCUUUUCAUGUCUAAACUUCAGUGAUGCCUCAAAGGUCAGCCUGAGAUGAUCCAUAGGCUAGUUUCCAAAUCUCUAAAUCUCUAGGUUAGUAUGAAGCUGGGUUUUUAGAAAGAAAUGAACACUCUCACUCUGAACCCCUGGAGAAGGAUUUCUAAGACGGGGAAGGAGGCACAGUAUCUCAAAAUCAACUUGCACUGGUUUCAAAUUGGGAAGUUGGAUUUCACAUUCUUGUGAUGAAUUUCUUUGUACUUUGGUCUUUAGAUGAUGACUGAUAACAUCUAUGAUCCUACUGGGGAAGCACAUUUUAGAUAAUUUUCCCAAAUGUCUUUAUAGGUUAUAUUUCCAGAGAACCUGUUGCAACACGGAGUACAGAGACCGCUGUCACUUUGGACUCACCAGGUUAUACUUCCAGAGAACCUGUUGCAACACAGCGUACAGAGACCACUGUCACUUGGGAUUCACCAGGUUAUACUUCCAGAGAACCUGUUGCAACACAGCGUACAGAGACCACUGUCACUUG